This is a non-coding RNA of Trichobilharzia regenti, 44 nucleotides long. Lineage: Eukaryota; Metazoa; Platyhelminthes; Trematoda; Strigeidida; Schistosomatidae. The record is from Rfam.
AUCCAGCAACGAGUCCCAAAUAGGACGAAACGCGCAUUCUGGAU